Micropterus dolomieu (smallmouth bass) is the source of this 3824-nucleotide long non-coding RNA. RefSeq lists it as uncharacterized. The record is from RefSeq and is a predicted model, not a curated record. Lineage: Eukaryota; Metazoa; Chordata; Actinopteri; Centrarchiformes; Centrarchidae. The transcript has 4 exons.
CACCACAAGAAGCACCUGGAAUAUUCCCUGCAAACUCUGCACCAACACCACUAAGGGAAAGAAGCUGAUCGAAGAUAACAAAACAGCAGUGCAGAAUUCCAGAGGAUCAUCGCUGAAUAUUGAGCCAAAAUUCACGUCAGUGUUGGCGAGUGGCAUCGGGCAGAAAGUGGAAUCUUCAUUCAACAAAAACGAGAGGUCAUCAUCCGAUGUCUCCUUGACCAUCUGGGAGAAGAUGCAAGUGCCUUGAUGAAGGACUUUGAGGUCAGCAAAAUAGUUCUCAGGAUUAUUAAGUGUUCGUUUUUGAAGUUUUAACUAAUGUAUUCAUUGAUGACUGAGAGGAGAUCCCAAACAUGCAAAGGAGAAGCAUAGCGAGUUAGCAGGGAGGGAUUACUCUUUGUGUGUCCUUUUUUUUUUUUUUUUUUCUGUAACAAGCAGUUUGAAAGUUAUGGAAUCAUAUCAGGCUAAAGAUUAGGAUUCAACUACAUAUUUUGUGCUAAAACAAAAAGGAUUACAAAAAGCCAAGGAUACCAAUAGGACUGAACAAUUAAUUGCAUUUGCGAUGAUAUCGCAGUGUAAUAAAACAAGAUUUUCUAAUCACAAAGGCUGCGAUUACUCUCUGGUAGAGUAAAGCAGAGUGCAGACGAAGCAUCAACUUCGCACGUUACGCUGUACCUUGCCUUCUUGUUGUACAACGGCCUUAAGCUUGACAGAAGCUGACGCUACAGAAACUUUAGUGUCACACAGGGAAUGAAAGUAGCACCCGCGGGUAACUUGGUGGUGGGUGAAAUCGUCAGGCCAUCCGCCGCUUUGACUGACAGGAAAAAUGCAUAACAAAACUUACGUGUUGAAAGGUAAGCGUAUUGUGGCGAUAGGUGCCUGCAUCACACACACAGCUACCUGUCAGCUCAGGAAAUAUCUGUGAAAAUCGUUCAGCCCUAGAUACCACACACAAGGGUUGGGCUGAUAGACGAUUUAAUUAGCACAAAUAUUAUUAUUACACAUUUUUAAAUAUGCUUCACACCUUCCUCGGAAUUCUCUUCUCCCAACACACAGACCCACAAGAAGCCUACACCUCAGGUAAACACACUGGCUUGCCCCGCCUCUUUCUGUGUGGAGUUUGUGCUCGGCGCAUGCUCCGCAUUUUCCCCAGAAGAAUGCACGUUGACUGUGUCAGGAUAUGAGGAGUGUAAAGAAACAUUAAUGGCCAGAUCUAACAUCGUGGUGGCCAACAACUCCAGGGAGGCUUGUUGGCAGUGCAGAGUAAAUUUGUAAUUCAGUGUUGUGUUUGUAGUUCUCUAUUUCUUAUUGUAUAUAUUGUAUAUGCUGUAGGUACAACUACAUAUUAGGUAUAUUGUAAUAAAUUAAAAAAAAAAUUGGGCCAGGGGAGAGGGGUAAUAAUCCGAGAAAAAACUCAGAAUAUCCAAGAUGUGGUAAAUUUACAUGGGGGGAUCACAAAUAUACAAGUAAAAACUUGAAUAUUCUCUCCAGUGAUUUGGAUUUUUUGUGACUUUAAUCACAGGGAAGUUUUGUUCUUGUAAAUUUUCCACUUUCAUCUAUGAAUUUAUUUCUCUUAUUACUAACCCUCACCCUAAUGAUAAUAAUAAUCUAGUUGCAUUUUUUUAAUUUUAUCAAUGCGAUUGAUAUGCAACUAUUUUGUAAGCUCUUUAUCUUUUGUAUUAUUUAAAACAGACAAGCAACAAAUCAUUAUGAAUGCACACAAUAUUAGAUAGAUUAAACAUCCACUGCUCUUUCCUGUAAUUAAUGAGUCCUACUCUCAGUUCACAUCUCUACAAGACUCCAUCUCUCAACUAAAACUUCCAUUUCUGUAUCCCAGCAAGCAAACAAAAAAACAUUCCGUUUGAGGUUCAAUGCAAAAGUUGGCCAACAAAAAUAAAACCAAGUGAUACCUCUCGCAUCUAAUAGACUAGCUUAGUAAUUUUCCGACAACACCUCAACUUGAUGCUUCCUCUGCAGACAGCUUUACUCUCGCUUAUCAUGUGACCAGUGGAAUCGCAGCCUUUGCUAUUAGAAAAUCUUGUUUUAUCAUAUCGCAAUAUAAUUGCAAAUGGAAUUAAUUGUUUAGCUUUAUCCCCAGUGGAACAAGUCAGGAUGAAAUCUAAAAAUAUUUUAUCAAGUGGUAUGUAUAAAUUGUUCUCUUUUACACUGAAGACAGAUGUAGUGUGUAGUCCACAUAUGCAGGGUAACCUUAAGAUAACCUGCUCAAAGCAGUUUAGAGAUGCAGUGUAGGGCAUACCUAGGGUAAAACCUAUCCACCUUUAGUCAUACUGGCUAAUAGGGAAGUUACACCCGACAUCACAAACUUACUCCUGAAGGUACCUGGCUUAACCCCACAUGUUAUGUGUUGCCUUUAAAUACAUUUUCUAACAGAUAUGUAUAUAAAAUCCCCAAAAAUCUUUUUUACUUGACUCCACAAAAUGUUUUUCAAUGCACCCAGAAAUAUAGUCAGUAGUGGUGUCUAUAAUGUGAAUGACUGAUAUUAAACGUGUGUGUAUAUAAGUAUUUAUAUGGAGAGUGAUUUAUAAAUAAACUACAGAAUACAUUUAUUAUUCCUUCUGUGUGCAUUCAUUAAUAUCGAGACUAAAGUUAUUACAAAGAAAGUGAGCUCUAACCUCUGUUCAAGAGGAGUUGGGAUGAGAGGUGAAGCUUUACCUGCUGCGGAACCAAUAUGGAUCAGUCAAAGAACCUACUGAUGUAGGGACUGUGAAUAAGGGCAUCACUGUCCUCAGAUUGCUGCUAGUUGUUGGGACUAACCUGUGCCUUGGAUCUGAAAAACCCAAGAAUCAAAAGUUAGUUUUGAGGUCUUCCAAAUUGUAGUGCUGGAUCUAGAUCCUGGAGACCUUUCAAACUAAAUUCAAUGACUGAAAAAUUACCUGUGUACCUAAGCUGCUGACUACUGUCUGGCAAGAUGCUCUUAUAAUGUGGCUGGUGGACUGUCUUAUUGUUUACAUAAGAGAACAUUGGAUUUUGGACUGGUAUUCUGUUCAGUUGUGUAAUUGUUAAUCACUUGGUGCAUAUUUGCCAUAUGAGUUCAGUUAAGCCAAUUCUUCUACAAAGUGUACAGUGUUUUUGUGAAAUUGUCAGAAAUGUGUAAAUAGGCCUCCAAUUAAAUGUUUGAGUUGAUAGUUAAAAGUGGUGUUAUACUGAUCUACAUUAUAGUGAGAGGUUUCUCUUCUCUUUUUUUGUCCUCCCUAUUUACAUCCAUGAGGUGAGCAUAAUAUUAGAAAAACCUCUGACUCUAAUGUAGUCCAGUCCAACACCAUCUCCAGCUAUGACCUCAAUGCUAAAACAAUACCUCUGUGACACUAACAAUCCAUUACCAUUAAAUGCAUCAUAAAAGUAGACUUUAUAGCAAAGCAGUAGAUUGUUCGAGGUGUACCUAAUAAAUUGUCUAUUUCUACAAGACUGCAUGCGUCGUCUUCAUCAGAGGCCACCAUGUAACUACAGUAGCUCUGAAGGGACAAACCAAACAAUGACUCUAGAUAGGUCCUUCCCAUUUUUCAGAAGUUUCACUGCCACCAUAGUUUCUCCUGCACACUUGGCGCUACCUAGAGCCAGUCCUUGGUUUGUCCAUUUUGCCCUACUGUAGAAACAUGACUGUGUAGCAUGGCGGACUCUUGAGUAAGAUGACCUGUGCCGUCUGUACACAUAAAAAGGCUCAUUAUAGGUGAUUAUACACAAAUUAUGAUAUUCACAAGUAUGUUUAUUCUAUUUCUGCUAUAUUUUGCAAAGUUAAUUCAAAGGCCAAUUGUUCUUGGCGCAUUUUACCCAUUUUUUUUUUAGAGACAGUUUACUGUGUGCAGAGU